RNAcentral lists this ribosomal RNA (377 nucleotides) under uncultured bacterium. RNAcentral describes it as "bacterial SSU rRNA". It matches the Rfam family "Bacterial small subunit ribosomal RNA", at positions 521 to 896 of the family's 1533-position model. The record is from RNAcentral.
UAAUACGUAGGUGGCAAGCGUUGUCCGGAUUUACUGGGCGUAAAGGAUGCGUAGGUGGAUAUUUAAGUGGGAUGUGAAAUACCCGGGCUCAACUCGGGUGCUGCAUUCCAAACUGGAUAUCUAGAGUGCAGGAGAGGUAAGUGGAAUUCCUAGUGUAGCGGUGAAAUGCGUAGAGAUUAGGAAGAACACCAGUGGCGAAGGCGACUUACUGGACUGUAACUGACACUGAGGCAUGAAAGCGUGGGGAGCAAACAGGAUUAGAUACCCUGGUAGUCCACGCCGUAAACGAUGGGUACUAGGUGUGGGAGGUAUCGACCCCUUCCGUGCCGCCGUUAACACAAUAAGUACCCCGCCUGGGGAGUACGGUCGCAAGAUUA